RNAcentral lists this ribosomal RNA (532 nucleotides) under uncultured bacterium. Its description in RNAcentral is "partial 16S ribosomal RNA". It matches the Rfam family "Bacterial small subunit ribosomal RNA", at positions 334 to 873 of the family's 1533-position model. The record is from RNAcentral.
AUUUCCUACGGUAGGCGGCAGUGGGGAAUAUUGGCCAAUGGGGGCAAGCCUGAUCCACCCAGGCCUCAUGACUGAUGAAGGCCUUAGGGUUGUAAAGUCCUUUUGUCCGGGUCGAUAAGGCCGUCCCGGAAGAAAAAACCCCGGCAAAUUUGGUCCCAGCAGCCGCGGAAAUCCGAGGGGGGCAAGCUUUUCUCGAAUUCCCUGGGGUUAAAGGGGGGUUAGGGGGCCUUUAAAUUCGGGGGGAAAACCCCGGGCCUCACCCCGGAAAUGCCUUUCUAUACUGGUUGGCUUGAGACCGGAAAAGGACAUCGGAUUUCCGAGUGUGGAGGGGAAAUUGGUAGAUUUUCGCAAGACCCCCAGUGGCGAAGGCGCCUGUCUGGCCCGGUUCUGCCGCUGAGGCGAAAAAGCGUGGGGGGCACACGGAAUUAAUUCCCGUUGUUGUCCCCCCCGUAACGAUGAAUGCCAACGUUGGUCUCUGCCGGUCAGUGGCGCAGCUAACGCGUUAAGCAUCCGCUCCGACUACGCCCAACGU